This 548-nucleotide ribosomal RNA is filed under the name uncultured bacterium. RNAcentral's name for it is "partial 16S ribosomal RNA". It matches the Rfam family "Bacterial small subunit ribosomal RNA", at positions 355 to 895 of the family's 1533-position model. The record is from RNAcentral.
UGGGGAAUUUUGGACAAUGGGGGAAACCCUGAUCCAGCCAUCCCGCGUGUGUGAAGAAGGCCUUCGGGUUGUAAAGCACUUUUGUCCGGAAAGAAAUCCUUGGCUCUAAUACAGUCGGGGGAUGACGGUACCGGAAGAAUAAGCACCGGCUAACUACGUGCCAGCAGCCGCGGUAAUACGUAGGGUGCAGCGUUAAUCGGAAUUACUGGGCGUAAAGCGUGCGCAGGCGGUUUGCUAAGACCGAUGUGAAAUCCCCGGGGCUCAACCUGGGAACUGCAUUGGUGACUGGCAGGCUAGAGUAUGGCAGAGGGGGGUAGAAUUCCACGUGUAGCAGUGAAAUGCGUAGAGAUGUGGAGGAAUACCGAUGGCGAAGGCAGCCCCCUGGGCCAAUACUGACGCUCAUGCACGAAAGCGUGGGGAGCAAACAGGAUUAGAUACCCUGGUAGUCCACGCCCUAAACGAUGUCAACUAGUUGUUGGGGAUUCAUUUCCUUAGUAACGUAGCUAACGCGUGAAGUUGACCGCCUGGGGGAGUACGGUCGCAAGAUU